Erinaceus europaeus (western European hedgehog) is the source of this 791-nucleotide long non-coding RNA. RefSeq lists it as uncharacterized. The record is from RefSeq and is a predicted model, not a curated record. The transcript has 3 exons. Lineage: Eukaryota; Metazoa; Chordata; Mammalia; Eulipotyphla; Erinaceidae.
CCGAGUGCUGCUGCUGCAGGAACUGAAGACUCUUCUCCAGGUCCAGGAUCCGCUUCUGCGCCUCGCCCAGUCCCGGCUGCGGGCCCUGCACCCCGCAUCCCGGGAGGACCACGACACCAAGUUGCAGAUGCUACCAUAAUUCCAACCUGACUCCGCCAGGGCAGACAACCUCAUCAAUGUACCUUGGAACCUUGUUUCCCCAAAGCUUUGCCUCACUAGGGAAAGGGAGACAGGCUGGGCAUAUGGAUCAACCUGACAAUGCUCAUGUUCAGUGGAGAAGCAAUUACAGAAGCCAGACCUUCCACCUUUUGCACCCCAUAAUGAUCCUGGGUCCAUACUCCCAGAAGGAUAAAGAAUAGGAAAGCUUCCAUUGGAGUGUAUGAGAUAUGCAACUCUAGUUGUGGGAAAUGUGUAGGGAAAAAAAAAAAAGACUAGCUCCUGUCCAGAGCUCACAAGAGGUGGUGAAGAACACAGCUCAGUUUCCAGCUGUCUUUUAGAAGCCACGAAGGCAUCAUAUAUUCCUGGAUUACCAGUGGCAACUCUGCUUUGCUAAGAAGACAGAACUCACACAGACCCAGCAUGGAUCUCCCAAACUCACAUACAGGAGGUAACCCGUUUCCAUGAUGGCUGUCUCAGUGUGUGUGUGUGUGCGUGUGUGUGUGUGUGUGUGUGUGUGUGUGUGUGUGUGUGUUGGCAGCUGCUAAUCAAGUUGUGGGAAGAGGCUUCCCCUACAUAAAGUACCUGAGCACUCUUGCUCAUGGUAAGACCUAGGCAUGAGAAAUUCAUCUAGU